AUACGGAGGGGGCUAGCGUUGUUCGGAAUUACUGGGCGUAAAGCGUACGUAGGCGGACUGAUCAGUUGGGGGUGAAAUCCCAGGGCUUAACCCUGGAACUGCCUUCAAUACUGUCAGUCUUGAGUUUGGGAGAGGUGAGUGGAAUUCCUAGUGUAGCGGUGAAAUUCAUAGAUAUUAGGAGGAACACCAGUGGCGAAGGCGGCUCACUGGCCCAUUACUGACGCUGAGGUACGAAAGCGUGGGGAGCAAACAGGAUUAGAAACCCUAGUAGUCC
This 274-nucleotide ribosomal RNA is filed under the name uncultured bacterium. Its description in RNAcentral is "partial 16S ribosomal RNA". It matches the Rfam family "Bacterial small subunit ribosomal RNA", at positions 523 to 796 of the family's 1533-position model. The record is from RNAcentral.